RNAcentral lists this ribosomal RNA (932 nucleotides) under Ostrea lurida. RNAcentral describes it as "12S ribosomal RNA". It matches the Rfam family "Bacterial small subunit ribosomal RNA". Lineage: Eukaryota; Metazoa; Mollusca; Bivalvia; Ostreida; Ostreidae. The record is from RNAcentral.
UGAAUAGAAAUAUUUGGUUCUGGUAUAAUGUCAGCCUAGAGUUGCCUAAAAUACACAAUGUAGAACACUUUCGUAAUGUGCUAAAUAGAUAAAAGAGAUAAGCUAGUGUGACUCCUAAAAGGAGUAGUAAGGCAGCAUAAGCAUAAGUCUAAGACGAUGACGCUAAAAAAAUCACAACUCAAGUGGACAGUCCUGGAUUCAAUGAGUUUAUGCUCGAAACGAACGGAAAACUAAUAAAUGUAAGCUAAAGGGGGUGCCAGCAGCUGCGGUCAGUCCCCUUUAAACAGGCUGAUAGAGGUGCAGCCUAGAGGCGGUUAGUCAAAUUACAGCAGUGAGACAUACGCUAAGUUUAAGGAGGUGAAAUUCCGUAAAAUUUAGAGGAGGGCCAAAGCUCACGUAAAGAUGAAGCCGCAAAGUUAUGGGUAUAGACCCGGAUUAGAUACCCGGUUAUUCCAUAAUGUCACGUACAGUUGCUUCAUGAAGAAGUGAUUUGCUAGGAGUACUACGAGCAGUUGCUUAAAACUCGAAGAACUUGGCGGUUCCACAAAACCAUCCAGAGGCUCUUGGCGCUUAAUCCGAUGAUCCGCGCGAUAUCUUACCCACUCUACAUGGCAAUGUACUGCCGUCGAAAGCUUAUAACGUGAGUGAAUAGAAAUAGGCCCUGCCUUAGGCUCAGACAGAAUCUCUGCGCUAAGACUAGGUCAGGUCGAAGUGUUCCUUAUGAGUGAGGGGUUAGCUGAGAGACAAUUUUUAAGAUAUAACAAGCCUUUGAAUGAAAUUUCCUUAAGGUGAGGAGGAUUUGGGAGUAAAAAGAGAGUAACUCGUUCAUUUGAAUAGACGCAACUGUGGUGCGUACAAAUCGCCCGUCACCCUAGCUGAAAGGAGAGGUAAGUCGUAACAUGGUAAGGGUAGGGGAACCUGCUCUUAUGAUA